CAAGGAAUAGUUUAAGUAGAAUUUCAGCUUUGGGUGUU
Molecule: transfer RNA, 38 nt
Filed under: Equus sp.
Lineage: Eukaryota; Metazoa; Chordata; Mammalia; Perissodactyla; Equidae
Description: partial tRNA-Pro
Source: RNAcentral